GUGUCAGCCGCCGCGGUAAUACAGAGGGGGCAAGCGUUAUUCGGAAUUAUUGGGCGUAAAGGGCGCGUAGGCGGCCUGGCAAGUGACGGGUGAAACCCCUCGGCUUAACCGAGGAACUGCCCGUUAGACUGCCUGGCUUGAGACCGGGAGAGGUGAGUGGAAUUCCCAGUGUAGCGGUGAAAUGCGUAGAUAUUGGGAGGAACACCAGUGGCGAAGGCGGCUCACUGGACCGGUACUGACGCUGAGGCGCGAAAGCGUGGGGAGCAAACAGGAUUAGAAACCCCCGUAGUCC
RNAcentral lists this ribosomal RNA (292 nucleotides) under uncultured bacterium. Its description in RNAcentral is "partial 16S ribosomal RNA". It matches the Rfam family "Bacterial small subunit ribosomal RNA", at positions 505 to 796 of the family's 1533-position model. The record is from RNAcentral.